Non-coding RNA from Danio rerio (zebrafish), 1084 nucleotides. NCBI's taxonomy places the organism in Eukaryota, Metazoa, Chordata, Actinopteri, Cypriniformes, Danionidae. The record is from RefSeq and is a predicted model, not a curated record.
UGGUGUAGUGCAGCUGAUUGAUAUGAGUAACCAAAAUGUGAUGGUGCUGUGCAGCUGAUUGGCAUUGACAUCGGCCAAUCGGCACGUAGCACCGCCUUUUUAAACCUGAUUGGUUGGUGCUUGGGAUACGUCACGUCCGACUCCGAUGCACUGGUUUGGGUGUCUGUAGCCGCUGCUACAGUGCAUCGUGUGGCGGUGGCUUUUCCCUUGGCUGUGGUGGCUGGAUGACUGUUCAAUUGCAGGAACUGAGGUUUCCCCCGGUGGAUGACGGGUCACUUUCCACUGGUGGUGGUGUUUCUCUACCGUGUGCUGUGGGACACAGUGCGUGAUAGCGUGAUUUUUGAGUGCACUGUGGUGUGUGCGUGUGCUGGGGUAAAGUCUGUCCACUUGUACCCAGUCAGUGGGAACCUCCAAUCCUGGUUUGGUUUUGUUUAUUUUUUGUUUCUUGUGUUUAAUAAUGAAGUGGGAAUUUUUGAUGUGUUUUUAAGAACCGUACAAUUUGACAGUUUUAUUCCAAAUAAAUAUUUUUGUACUUUUGCAUUUUACCUUUCUGGGAGAAACGAACCUGUGUCCUUUUUCUAAUAGUUGUUUCCCUGGGUAACUCCCGGGGUGGCGUAGUUGGUUAUUUUUAUUUAAAGAGAUUUAAACCCUACUCUAUACCCUCGUCACACAUAGUUUGACAUUUUGACUUUAAAACUUCAGCUUUACAAACACUUUUGUGCUGGAUUGGAUCAAAAUGAAUAAACCACCCCUCUCAGUUCAAUAAUCUUUAAAAACUGUUUUUUUUUUUUUUCUGGACACAAACUCCCACAUUAAACUGAAGUGAAGAUCUGUCAGCCAAUCAUGUCAAAUACAUAAACUGACUGGAUGACAAAGUGUAACACGGAAAAAACUAUCACCUUCAGUUUAAUUUUAAGCAAUUACCAAAAAUUCAUUAAAAACUAAGAGGUUUCACAUUUUUCAGAGUAGUAAAUGCACCCUUUUUUUGAACCCUUAACAAAAUUUGUGCUCUUGAAAUAGGAUGGGGGUUCCAGACUUUAAGAAGCCCUGCUCUGUAAAAUAAAAUGAUUAAAGUUUUACCCAC